RNAcentral lists this transfer RNA (76 nucleotides) under Bdellovibrionales bacterium. Its description in RNAcentral is "tRNA-Cys". It matches the Rfam family "tRNA". Rfam says of the family: Transfer RNA (tRNA) molecules are approximately 80 nucleotides in length. Their secondary structure includes four short double-helical elements and three loops (D, anti-codon, and T loops). The record is from RNAcentral. Lineage: Bacteria; Pseudomonadati; Bdellovibrionota; Bdellovibrionia; Bdellovibrionales.
GGAGAUGUGCUCGAGUGUUUAAGAGAACAGCUUGCAAACCUGUUAUUCGGUGGUUUAAAUCCAUCCAUCUCCUCCA